This 497-nucleotide ribosomal RNA is filed under the name uncultured bacterium. RNAcentral's name for it is "partial 16S ribosomal RNA". It matches the Rfam family "Bacterial small subunit ribosomal RNA", at positions 28 to 507 of the family's 1533-position model. The record is from RNAcentral.
GAUGAACGCUGGCGGCGUGCCUAAUACAUGCAAGUCGAGCGAACAGACGAGGAGCUUGCUCCUCUGACGUUAGCGGCGGACGGGUGAGUAACACGUGGAUAACCUACCUAUAAGACUGGGAUAACUUCGGGAAACCGGAGCUAAUACCGGAUAAUAUAUUGAACCGCAUGGUUCAAUAGUGAAAGACGGUUUUGCUGUCACUUAUAGAUGGAUCCGCGCCGCAUUAGCUAGUUGGUAAGGUAACGGCUUACCAAGGCAACGAUGCGUAGCCGACCUGAGAGGGGGAGAGGCCACACUAGAAAGGAGACAGGGCCCGGCCCCAGAGGGGAGGGGGAGGUGGGGAAUCUUCGGGAAGGGGAGAAGGCAGGACGGGGAACAGCGGAGUGAGGGAGAAAGGUAUGGGGAUAUAAAAACUAUUUUAUGGGGAAAAAAAAAAGGGGUAAGAAACGAGGCCUGCUUUGAGGGUACCUAAUAAAAAAGCCACGGCAAAUUACGUG